This 1071-nucleotide long non-coding RNA is filed under the name Coturnix japonica (Japanese quail). Its description in RNAcentral is "lncRNA (ENSCJPG00005019766.1)". Lineage: Eukaryota; Metazoa; Chordata; Aves; Galliformes; Phasianidae. The record is from RNAcentral.
AUGAAGGAAAGAAGGAAGAGGAGGAAGGAAGAGGAGGAAGGAAGGAAGGAAGAGGAGGAAGGAAGAGGAGGAAGGAAGGAAGAGGAGGAAGGAAGGAAGAGGAGGAAGGAAGAGGAGGAAGGAAGGAAGAGGAAGGAAGGAAGGAAGGAGAAGAGGAGGAAGAGAAGGGCCAGGAAGAGAAGGAAAGGAAAGAAGGAAGGAAGAGAAGGAAGGAAGGAAGAGAAGGAAGGAAGAGAAGGAAGAAGAGAAGGGAAGGAAGGAAGAGAAGAAGAGAAGGAAGAAGGAGGAGAAGAAGGAAGGAAAAGAGAGAAGGAAGGAAGGAAGGAAGGAAGGAAGGAAGGAAGGAAGGAAGGAAGAGAAAGAAGAAGGAAGAGAAAGAGGAAGAGAGAGAAGGAAGGAAGGAGAGAAGGAGGAAGAAGAGAAGAAGGAAGGAAGAGAAGGAAGGAAGGAAGAGAAGGAAGGAAGGAAGGAAGGAAGGAAGGAAGAGAAGGAAGGAAGGAAGAGAAGGAGGAAGGAAGAGAAGGAAGGAAGGAAGAGAAGAGAAGGAGAGAAGGAGAGAAGGAGAGAAGGAGAGAAGGAAGAGAAGGAAGGAGGAAGGAGAAGGAAGGAAGAGAGAAGGAAGGAAGGAAAGAGAAGGAAGGAGAAGAGAAGGAAGGAAGGAAGAGAAGGAAGGAAGGAAGAAGAGAAGGGAAGGGAAGGAGAGAAGGAAGAAGGAAGGAAGGGAAGGAAGGAAGGAAGGAAGGAAGGAAGGAAGGAAGGAAGAAGGAAGGAAGGAAGGAAGGAAGGAAGGAAGAAGGAAAGGAAGGAAGGAAGGAAGGAAAGGAAGGAAGGAGAAGGAAGAGGAAAGGAAGGAAGGAAGGAAGGAAGGAAGGAAGGAAGGAAGGAAGGAAGGAAGGAAGGAAGGAAGGAAGGAAGGAAGGAAGGAAGGAAGGAAGGCUGCAGUGUCUAGCACAUGAUGGAAGGAUAAGGCAGCCUUUAACAGUCAUGCAAGGCCCUCCACACAUUGCCGCUCACACAUUGCCACUUCCGCAAUAUGGUGAUGUUUUUGAUCACCCGAUUACAAAGACAUAA